ACCCAGUCGGAGGUAGGACGGGGGCUGAAGUGGGACCAGCUCUGAGCUGGGGGCCCGUCUGACGUAGGACCCAGGGUGAGGUGGGACCCAGUUGGAGGUGGGACCCGGUCUGACGUGGACCCCGGCUUGACGUCGAACGCAGUCUGACGUCGGACCCACCUGACGUCUGCUCGCUCUGACGUCGGCGCUGUCUGACUCCAGUCUGAGGCCGUCCUGGUUUUGAAGUCAGCCCGGACGCCGGCCGACGGUUUCCACACCCAGCCUGGAAGCCGAAACGCUCACGUGAAGCCUGAAAGCCCAUGAAGGGAACGACUGCGACGCUGGGAUCCCAAGACGGGGCCUCCCCGCCUGGAGAGGCAGCCAGCGAGCGGCAGGUUCGGCGGCUGGGCAGCUGAGAGAGUCAUUACUGUGAUCUGUGGGACAUUCUAUACAUGAGCUGAUACUUCUCUUCCUUCUCCUCAGUCUCUAAGAAUGAGUCCAGACCCAUUCUGGGACUCAGAGAACUCUUUCUGGACCGUCUCUUCCCUCUCACCGCCAGCCACCAUCUCCCAUCCAUCAGUUUGUAAGGCCAUGUGAGGACAGUGAGAAGGCCGUGAUCACAGCCCAAGGAGAGAGGCAUCACCAGACACAGACUCUGCUGCCGCUUUGAUCUCAGACUUCCCAGCCUCUAGCACUGUCCUGGCUGGCUAGAAGCUUUCAGAAUGACUGUUUCCAUUUAAUGUGGUCUCAUAGCAUGCAGAAGAAUUUCAGAGAUUUUCAGUUGGAAUAGUGGUGGCAAGGCAACCACACAUUCUUAAAGUAUUGCAAAUGAACUUUUGCCCCCUUGAUCAUGGGGCAAACACAAAGAUCUUGAUGGACUCUCCUCCUUUGUCCCCCCUGCUCUCCUGUUCUGUGCCCUGCUCUGUUGCUGCGCUGGUCCUCUUGAGACAUUUCCCAUCAUGGUGUAACCUCUAAGACCUUGCAAAGAUUGACAUGUCUCUAAGAAUGUGCCAAACAGAUCUAGAGCAAUGGUUUUCAACCAGGGAAGACUACCACCUGCCUCUUCCCCUACAACCACAGACAUUCAACAAUGCUUUGGGUUGUCACAACUGUAGAUUGUGCUGCUGAACAUCUCAGAGUACACAGGGAAUCUUUUGCAGUAAAGGAUGAUUCAAGCCAAAAUGUCAUUAGUUCCACUGUUAUGGAUCCUUGAUCUAAAAUACCUUAUACCUUCUUUGUAGGUCGCUUCUUGGGAAAGGACAACUGAAUUAGAGUAGGUGUCUCUACAAGCAUCUCUUAGAGUGCGCACCUGGGGAAUGCAAAUAAAAAUCACAGUGUGAGACUGUUGCAUAUCUAGUGAAAGAGCUAAAAUGAUAAACCAAGGAAAUACUAAGACUGAACAGCUCUGUAGCCAGCUGAACUUUCAUACUGUGUUCGUGGGAAACUAAAUGGGCAAAACCACUUUGCAAAACUGUUUAGUGUUAUCCGGUAAAGCUGAACAUAGGCAUACUUUAUGAUUCCACAAUUCUAUUCCUAGAUAUGCAUACCCAUCGGAAACAUGUACAUAUAUCACCAAAAGUAUGCACUAGAUUGUUCAUUGCAGCACUGUCUAAAGUUGCCAAAUAUUGCAAAAACAACCCAAAUGCCCUUCAGUUGUAGAAUGGGUAAAUAAAUUGCUGUGUAUUCA
Molecule: long non-coding RNA, 1666 nt
Organism: Neofelis nebulosa (Clouded leopard)
Lineage: Eukaryota; Metazoa; Chordata; Mammalia; Carnivora; Felidae
Exons: 5
Source: RefSeq, a predicted model, not a curated record